This 375-nucleotide ribosomal RNA is filed under the name uncultured organism. RNAcentral describes it as "partial 16S ribosomal RNA". It matches the Rfam family "Bacterial small subunit ribosomal RNA", at positions 527 to 896 of the family's 1533-position model. The record is from RNAcentral.
GUAGGUGGCAAGCGUUGUCCGGAAUUAUUGGGCGUAAAGCGCGCGCAGGCGGUCCUUUAAGUCUGAUGUGAAAGCCCACGGCUCAACCGUGGAGGGUCAUUGGAAGCUGGGGGACUUGAGUACAGAAGAGGAAAGCGGAAUUCCAAGUGUAGCGGUGAAAUGCGUAGAGAUUUGGAGGAACACCAGUGGCGAAGGCGGCUUUCUGGUCUGUAACUGACGCUGAGGCGCGAAAGCGUGGGGAGCAAACAGGAUUAGAUACCCUGGUAGUCCACGCCGUAAACGAUGAGUGCUAAGUGUUAGGGGGUUUCCCGCCCCCCUUAGUGCUGCAGCUAACGCAUUAAGCACUCCGCCUGGGGAGUACGGCCCGCAAGGCUG